UUUGUCUGCUACCGGCUGAAACAAUGGGCAUGUUGUGUGCGCAUUGCUCUGCUCCAUCCACUGGUGCAUACUUUCACAUAAACAACUGCAAACAAGCUAAACUAACAACUGUGGGGAGAAAUGUGAUGCCCACUAAGUGCAAAAUAUACAACCGAAUGGGGGAAAGUAAAACUGUAAUUAAAGAAUCGAUAGAAUGCGUGGCUGGGGAUGAUACAAAAACGUUUCUUCAGUAAUGCAAAUUAAUGAUGACAAACUUGAAACACUGUUUUGAAACAUCUCAA
This is a long non-coding RNA of Thalassophryne amazonica, 281 nucleotides long. RefSeq lists it as uncharacterized. The record is from RefSeq and is a predicted model, not a curated record. NCBI's taxonomy places the organism in Eukaryota, Metazoa, Chordata, Actinopteri, Batrachoidiformes, Batrachoididae. The transcript is spliced from 3 exons.